Molecule: unclassified non-coding RNA, 305 nt
Filed under: Hevea brasiliensis (rubber tree)
Lineage: Eukaryota; Viridiplantae; Streptophyta; Magnoliopsida; Malpighiales; Euphorbiaceae
Source: RNAcentral
AGAUGAUGGGUGAAUUUGGGAUUAUGUCUACUAUUAUUACUUAUAAUACAAUGUUGGAUUUGUUUUGUAGAGAAGGUGAAGUAGAACAGGCUUUGGAUCUUUUAUCAGAAAUGGAGAGAAGGGAGUGCUAUCCAAAUGAUGUAACAUACAAUAUCUUGAUUAAUGGGUUAUCAAAGAAAGGGGAGUUUAACCAUGCUAGAGGUUUGAUUGGAGAGAUGUUGAAUAAAGGACUGAGGGUUUCAGCUCAUACAUAUAAUCCUCUAAUUUAUGGUUACUGUAUUAAGGGAAUGGUUGUGGAGGCAUUG